Molecule: long non-coding RNA, 1689 nt
Organism: Rattus norvegicus (Norway rat)
Lineage: Eukaryota; Metazoa; Chordata; Mammalia; Rodentia; Muridae
Source: RefSeq, a predicted model, not a curated record
AGAGCAAUUCACAGGUUAGGUCUCAGCAAACCGCAGGGUUCCAGGGUAUCCGUCCUUCCAUCUUCUAGUGGGAAGACUCUUCCUCUAAAGGGUGGUUCCCCUUCUCCCACCACUUCCUCGCCAUUGGUUCUCACGGACCAAUCAGCCUUCUCUAACUUCCCAGCUGAAAGGGAAGCAUUUUCCCCAGUCCUUCCAGAGGUCCUUCUUUCUAUCCUUCGUCAGCGGAUGAGCUACAAUUGUUCAAAACUCUCUGUUUUCUUUUUUAAAAAGAUGUAUGUGUAUAAGUGUUUUGUCUGCAUGUAUGUCCGUGCUCCUCAGAGGCACCUGGUACCCGAGGAAGUCAGGAGAUUGUGUUAGAGCCCCUGAAGCUGGAGUUACAGACGUUUGUGUCUGCUGUGGGUUCUGGGAGACUCUCCGCGAGAGUUACCACCGAGUCAAUGUCUGCAGACUUUUUUUUUUUUUCUCUUUUCUUUUUUUUUUUUUUUUUUUUUUUUCAGAGCUGGGGACUGAACCCAGGGCCUUGCGCUUGCUAGGCAAGCGCUCUACCACUGAGCUAAAUCCUCAACCCGUCUGCAGACUUUCUAUUUUUAUUCUCCAAUGUCCCAUUUAUUCCUUAGCCCCUUAAGUCUGUCUUUCUGUCCCUGCCAUUUGCUUGCUUUGUUCUGGGCAAGAUAACUAGCCAAUCUCUAGUGUUUAAAUCCACUAAAUUCUUUACAAUGUUGUCUCAAAAUGUUCUUUUUUAAAUUUACAUUCAGUGCACCCCCACAGCACGUGCAGCCAGCAGAGAACAACUCAUGGAAGUCGGGGUUCCUUUCCGGUAGUUUUCUCCCCCUCGGCACUCUGACUUCUGUUGAGCUAAUCUGUGGGAGAGAAAGGGACGCCAAGAGGCUGCUUCCCUUUGCCUCCGGCCUGUAUUGUCACAGAAAGUGAACGCAGACUCUGAGGCUGCUUCAGUUUGGCUGGCUGUCCUGACUAUUGUGUGGACACCUCUGGCUGGCACCCAGCAGACCCUUUCUAUCUGAAGUAGUAUAGGAAGUUAUUUCAUAUUAAUUUGGUGCCCAUGGCUCUUUGUUUGAGCUUGGAUCUGUGGGUUUACAAUUUCCACAAGCGUAGGAAACCAGCGGCCAUUCCUUUUACUGUGGUUUUGGCACCCACUCCUUACUGGGUUCCAACCCUCGGGCACUCCGCCAUCUGGAAGCCAAUGGGUUCUCCUCACUGUGCCUCAACCUUCCUUCUGUCUUGGGAGCUCUACAGCUGCGCCCUCAAGACCACUGCAGUUUUCUUCUGCCGCGCCUCAUAAGAGAUCCUGUUCCGAUCAAGUUUUUCACCUUACAUGUUGCAUCGGGACAGUGCCUGAACACUGAGUGGUAUAUGAACCUCGCGCCCCACCGUGGCUCUGCAACUCCGACGUAAAGCAGGCAGUGAGCAUCAAGGUCACUCGCAGACUCAGGAAGGAUGGUGACCUCGAAACUGGAAGAAGUCUCAGCAAACACUCACAGCUUUACUGUUUCAGAGGAGACCAGGAUGAUGUGAGCUUCUGGGUGACUUGCUACACACAGCUGGAACUGAAAAUCAGCUUUAACUUGGCUUUAGGUGGUGGUGCAGAGUUUGAGGUCAAUCUGAUCUACAGAGCAAGUUCCAGGACAGUCAGGGCUACACAGAGAAACCUGUCUCAAGAAGAAGGAGAAA